CCCAGGAUGCACUCCCGCCGCAUCGCCCUCCGGGGAUCCCCCGAUUUCACCUCCGCCCUCGCCCACAGCACGAACGCGGCCGGCGGGGAGUGUGGGAACGCGGGCAUCCUAGCCCUUUCCUCCGCCGUGGCCUCGUCGUGGAUCCUCCUCGCUAGUAUCCUUUGCUCCACGUCCGCCCUCCUCUGACAUAUCUCCGCGUAUCUCACCGCCGCGGAUCUCGCGCUCGGGGCGGUCUCCGCCGCCACUGCCUGAUCCGCCGCCUUCCACUCCCGCACACACCGGAUCCACGCCACGGUGGUGUCUCGAAUCCUGGUCGCCCGCUCCACCCAUCCCCGAGCCCUGGUCGCGCACCCCCUGCGGAACUGGUGAGAUCAGCCUCACCAUCUCCGGGGAGGCUUCAUAGACGAAAGGGGGCAUCCGAGGGGGUGGAGGGGGUGUGGCCGCGGUCGGCGCCCGCGGCCCUCGCCGGCGUGGAGGCAUGCUGCGAGGCUGGAGUGGCGAGAUCUGCGGGGGCGAUGGCUAUGGCGAGCGAGAGGCGUGGUUUCGCGAGAGCUAUCCUAGCAGCGCUCAUGAGGCGUGGUUGUGGCUGAUUGUGCUUUCAGACUUGGUAAGCUUGGUAAGAUUAAGAAAGAAACAUUGAUUUUUUUUGGUGUUUGUGAGAAGAAAAAAUAUAGUCUGUUGGUAGGGAAGAUAAUAAUAUACUUAGAGAGAUAUUUUCUAUAUUCAGUUCUGUUUCCUUUCCGCCAAAUGGAUGUAUGCAAUCUUUUUAUUCUAUUUCCUACAAACGAUAUACUAUUCAGGAAGGAGGUGUUAGCCUAGAGAGGCUGUACGCACCAUUGUAAAUGUGACACUCUUAAGUUUAAAGUCUGAGGCAUAAUGUACCUCUUAUUCGAAUCAAAUGUGAGUGCUCUGAAAGACUGAAACUGGCUAUCACAUAUGCAUAUGCAUGUACCUAAACUCUGACAGAAGACAUAUCCAGUGCUACCACCACACACGGCGCCGCCACGCUCCCUCCAUUUCGAAUUUUUGGAAAACCAUGAUUUGUCAUGAAAAUUUCAUAAGAAAAAAGAAAUACCAUGUCACGAAAGUUCUAUUCUAAGUAAAAGAGUGGUGGCAGAGGGCAGAAAAUAUUAACUGAAAUUUUGUCUCUGUGUUUCCUCAGAGAUUUAUUGACAGGAGCUAAAUUAUUAUGGCAUGGUUCAUCAAUCCAAGUCGUUUCAGAUAACGUUUAUGACCAUCGCAAGUCUUUCCGACGGGCGGGAGCGCGGCAUCACGGUAAACGGGUGGGAGAACCAGAU
RNAcentral lists this long non-coding RNA (1298 nucleotides) under Triticum aestivum (bread wheat). RNAcentral's name for it is "long non-coding RNA (TAES_LNC016034)". Lineage: Eukaryota; Viridiplantae; Streptophyta; Magnoliopsida; Poales; Poaceae. The record is from RNAcentral.